Molecule: ribosomal RNA, 200 nt
Filed under: uncultured bacterium
Lineage: Bacteria
Description: partial 16S ribosomal RNA
Rfam family: Bacterial small subunit ribosomal RNA
Source: RNAcentral
AGAGUUUGAUCAUGGCUCAGAAUCAACGCUGGCGGCGCGCUUAACACAUGCAAGUCGCACGAGAAAGGGGCAACCUGAGUAAAGUGGCGUACGGGUGAGUAACACGUGGAUUAUCUGCCUUUUAGUGGGGAAUAACCCUGGGAAACCGGGGCUAAUACCGCAUAAGCUCGUAAGAGGAAAGCAGCAAUGCGCUGAAAAGA